This 537-nucleotide ribosomal RNA is filed under the name Escherichia coli. RNAcentral's name for it is "partial 23S ribosomal RNA". It matches the Rfam family "Bacterial large subunit ribosomal RNA", at positions 419 to 957 of the family's 2925-position model. The record is from RNAcentral. Lineage: Bacteria; Pseudomonadati; Pseudomonadota; Gammaproteobacteria; Enterobacterales; Enterobacteriaceae.
GGGACACGUGGUAUCCUGUCUGAAUAUGGGGGGACCAUCCUCCAAGGCUAAAUACUCCUGACUGACCGAUAGUGAACCAGUACCGUGAGGGAAAGGCGAAAAGAACCCCGGCGAGGGGAGUGAAAAAGAACCUGAAACCGUGUACGUACAAGCAGUGGGAGCACGCUUAGGCGUGUGACUGCGUACCUUUUGUAUAAUGGGUCAGCGACUUAUAUUCUGUAGCAAGGUUAACCGAAUAGGGGAGCCGAAGGGAAACCGAGUCUUAACUGGGCGUUAAGUUGCAGGGUAUAGACCCGAAACCCGGUGAUCUAGCCAUGGGCAGGUUGAAGGUUGGGUAACACUAACUGGAGGACCGAACCGACUAAUGUUGAAAAAUUAGCGGAUGACUUGUGGCUGGGGGUGAAAGGCCAAUCAAACCGGGAGAUAGCUGGUUCUCCCCGAAAGCUAUUUAGGUAGCGCCUCGUGAAUUCAUCUCCGGGGGUAGAGCACUGUUUCGGCAAGGGGGUCAUCCCGACUUACCAACCCGAUGCAAACUGC